Molecule: ribosomal RNA, 497 nt
Filed under: uncultured bacterium
Lineage: Bacteria
Description: partial 16S ribosomal RNA
Rfam family: Bacterial small subunit ribosomal RNA
Source: RNAcentral
GAUGAACGCUGGCGGCGUGCCUAAUACAUGCAAGUCGAGCGAACGGACGAGAAGCUUGCUCCUCUGAUGUUAGCGGCGGACGGGUGAGUAACACGUGGAUAACCUACCUAUAAGACUGGGAUAACUUCGGGAAACCGGAGCUACUACCGGAUCAUAUUUUGAACCGCAUGGUUCAAUAGUGAAAGACGGUUUUGCUGUCACUUAUAGCUGGAUCCGCGCUGGAUUAGCUAGUUGGUAAGGUAACGGCUUACCAAGGCCACGAUGCCUAGCCGACCCGAGAGGGUGAUUCGCCCAAACGGAAACGAGACCAGGUUCCGACUCCUAAGGGAGGCCGCCGUGGGGAAUCUUCCGCAAUGGGCGAAAGCCUGACGGAGCAACGCCGCGUGAGUGAUGAAGGUCUUCGGAUCGUAAAACUCUGUUAUUAGGGAAGAACAGAUGUGGAAGUAACUCUGCACGUCUUGACGGUACCUAAUCAGAAAGCCACGGCUAACUACGUG